CCUACGGGAGUCAGCAGUGGGGAAUAUUGGGCAAUGGGCGCAAGCCUGACCCAGCAACGCCGCGUGAAGGAAGAAGGCUUUCGGGUUGUAAACUUCUUUUGUCAGGGAAGAGUAGAAGACGGUACCUGACGAAUAAGCCACGGCUAACUACGUGCCAGCAGCCGCGGUAAUACGUAGGUGGCAAGCGUUGUCCGGAUUUACUGGGUGUAAAGGGCGUGUAGCCGGGUUGACAAGUCAGAUGUGAAAUCCUGCGGCUUAACCGCAGAACUGCAUUUGAAACUGUUGAUCUUGAGUACUGGAGAGGCAGAUGGAAUGCCUAGUGUAGCGGUGAAAUGCGGAGAUAUUAGGAGGAAAACGAGUGGCGAAGGCGGUCUGCUGGACAGCAACUGACGGUGAGGCGCGAAAGCGUGGGGAGCAAACAGGAUUAGAUACCCCAGUAGUC
This 442-nucleotide ribosomal RNA is filed under the name uncultured bacterium. Its description in RNAcentral is "partial 16S ribosomal RNA". It matches the Rfam family "Bacterial small subunit ribosomal RNA", at positions 338 to 795 of the family's 1533-position model. The record is from RNAcentral.